GCAUAACCCCGGGAACUGGGGAUAAUACUCCAUAGAUUAGAGACACUGGAAUGUUCUUUAGUCGAAAGUUCUGGCGCCUUAGGAUGGAUCUGCGGUCGAUUAGGUUGUUGUUGGGGUAACGGCCCAACAAGCCUGUAAUCGAUACGGGUUGUGGGAGCAAGAGCCCGGAGAUGGAAUCUGAGACACGAUUCCAGGCCCUACGGGGCGCAGCAGGCGCGAAAACUUUACAGUGCAGGAAACUGUGAUAAGGGAACUCCGAGUGCCCGUAUACGCGGGCUGUCCAGGUGUUUAAAAAUCAUCUGAAGAAAGGGCCGGGCAAGACCGGUGCCAGCCGCCGCGGUAAUACCGGCGGCUCGAGUGGUGGCCACUAUUAUUGGGCUUAAAGCGUCCGUAGCUGGACCGAUAAGUCUCUUGGGAAAUCCGCCGGCUCAACCGGCGGGCGUCUAAGGGAUACUGUUAGUCUAGGGACCGGGAGAGGUGAGAGGUACUCCGGGGGUAGGAGUGAAAUCCUGUAAUCCCCGGGGGACCACCGAUGGCGAAGGCAUCUCACCAGAACGGCUCCGACAGUGAGGGACGAAAGCUGGGGGAGCGAACCGGAUUAGAUACCCGGGUAGUCCCAGCCGUAAACUAUGCGCGUUAGGUGUACUGGUGACCACGAGUCACCGGGGUGCCGAAGGGAAACCGUGAAACGUGCCGCCUGGGAAGUACGGUCGCAAGGCUGAAACUUAAAGGAAUUGGCGGGGGAGCACAA
This 751-nucleotide ribosomal RNA is filed under the name uncultured archaeon. Its description in RNAcentral is "bacterial SSU rRNA". It matches the Rfam family "Archaeal small subunit ribosomal RNA", at positions 124 to 881 of the family's 1478-position model. The record is from RNAcentral.